This 960-nucleotide long non-coding RNA is filed under the name Bemisia tabaci. RNAcentral describes it as "lncRNA ENSSSA2NGG013044". Lineage: Eukaryota; Metazoa; Arthropoda; Insecta; Hemiptera; Aleyrodidae. The record is from RNAcentral.
CCCGUUUUCAGACGACCCGUCAGAGAGGUUCUCUCAGAGCUCGAGGAUUCCGUUAAAAGACUCCUGGAAGGUGUACCUAUGCGGAAUGAACAAGUGGAUGUUAUCAGUAGUGUAAUGAACGUAAUUGAGGUGGAGCUCUACAUGUUUCUUGGAAUUCUAGUUUAUAGCUCUGAUUCAAGGUCAUUCCAGAGAAUGAUGUACUGUGAGUUGGAACAUUUUGCACGCAAACUGUUUCAUGUCUUAUUCAACUGCUGCCAAAACGGGCUUGUCGGGGUGCACCAAAUUGCGCAGGCUUUUAUUGCCUCGGUGAUGAGCAGUUCAACCAUGUCCAUCUCUCAAAUCAUGAAAAUGUGGAUUGUUCAUGCGACAGUGUCUUUCUUGCGCGCAAACCUAAUCAUCAACCCUGAGCGGUCAGACCUGUUUGUCGCCCAGCAAAUAUUGGAGGAAGGAGCUAGUGGAAGCAGCAGUAGCAGUAGCAGUAACGGUAUUUCCUCUUCAAACAGGAGCGGUGAAAGUUCCUCAGAGACGCCUAUGGCUGUGCCCACAACCUCUGAAAGCUUAUCACCUGAUUCUGGAUCGACCUUGUCGAAUCUAAUGCAAAUAAUUAGUCAGAAUGUAACUUUGGGAGACGCUGUACGCCUUUCCUGCGGAAUCCGAGUUUCAUUGGCCAAUGUUGGGAGGCAGCUGGAGGAUUUCUUGCGCAGGAGAUUCCCCUCCGUCAGAGAGCUCCAGCGAGGACAGUUGGUUAUCGACAUCAUUCGCAACUCUUAUGGAAUGCCCCAGCUACGCAUGCCUGUGCGUGAGCUUUAUGGAGAACUGAGAGCAACUGUAGGAUCAGUUUUGACUUUUGCAGACAUGCGAGAAGGGAUCGAUGCAGUAGCGGCUGUGAUGGAUGUUAUUGAAUCACGUCUAUACGUAUCCUGGCGUUCUGUUUCUCAGUCCGGACUGGGAGCAAUUUGA